GGCUCAGGAUGAACGCUAGCGGCAGGCUUAACACAUGCAAGUCGAGGGGCAGCGUGAAGGUUAGCAAUAACCUUUGACGGCGACCGGCGCAAGGGUGCGUAACGCGUGAGCAACUUGCCCUUAUCAGGGGGAUAACCGGUGGAAACGCCGACUAAUACCCCAUGGCAUCACAUCAAGGCAUCUUUUUGUGAUUAAAGAAAUUCGGAUAAGGAUAGGCUCGCGUGACAUUAGCUAGACGGCGGGGUAACGGCCCACCGCGGCGACGAUGUCUAGGGGUUCUGAGAGGAAGGUCCCCCACACUGGAACUGAGACACGGUCCAGACUCCUACGGGAGGCAGCAGUGAGGAAUAUUGGUCAAUGGUCUGACGACUGAACCAGCCAUGCCGCGUGAAGGUCACGGCCCUAUGGGUCUUAAACUUCUUUUGCGAGGGAGCAAUAAGGUCUACGUGUAGUCCGAUGAGAGUACCUCGCGAAUAAGCAUCGGCUAACUCCGUG
This 495-nucleotide ribosomal RNA is filed under the name uncultured bacterium. RNAcentral describes it as "bacterial SSU rRNA". It matches the Rfam family "Bacterial small subunit ribosomal RNA", at positions 21 to 507 of the family's 1533-position model. The record is from RNAcentral.